Long non-coding RNA from Neoarius graeffei (lesser salmon catfish), 553 nucleotides. RefSeq lists it as uncharacterized. The record is from RefSeq and is a predicted model, not a curated record. Lineage: Eukaryota; Metazoa; Chordata; Actinopteri; Siluriformes; Ariidae. The transcript has 3 exons.
GAUUCGCUCGAUCGAGUCAUUUAUGUUUCGUCCCGAAGAAGAUCCGAAUCGUUUGUGAAUCUCAUCACUGUUAGAAAUCCAAGAGAAGAGAUCCUCUUCCCUUAACAUCAUCAGAGGAAAAAUCUGCUUCUUAAUCAAUUAGUUUCAGCGUUUGUACCUCUCUCUCUGGAUCCAUGUCAUCCUACAGUCUCUUCUCGAGCAAGGCGUGGUGAGACACUUUACACAAGAUUUACCUGUAAUUCAUAACGUGCUCUGUGACCUUCUCCCUCCCUCAGGACUCUGUGGUCUGUGUGUUCUGGUGUCUGCUGAGUCACCAGAAAUCUGCCAAGACACUGACACUUGCGCCUGCUCCAACAUCUGGCGCAUAAGGGCUUUAAGGUUUCCAGAACCAAUCUGCAAUAUUGCAUGGACACUUAAGUAUUUGAACUUUUGAAGUUUUGAACUUUCUCAAGGCUGUCAUUCUAGACACAAAACCUCCUCCACUGCAACAUCCUUUGACCUGGACUGACGCUAUGGUGGUCGCUUAUCACUCCGUCAGAAGCACCCUUUGUUC